RNAcentral lists this ribosomal RNA (420 nucleotides) under uncultured bacterium. RNAcentral describes it as "bacterial SSU rRNA". It matches the Rfam family "Bacterial small subunit ribosomal RNA", at positions 355 to 774 of the family's 1533-position model. The record is from RNAcentral.
UAAGGAAUAUUGCCCAAUGGGAGAAAUCCUGAAGCAGCAACGCCGCGUGGAGGAUGAAGGGUCUAUGACUUGUAAACUCCUGUAAAGAAGGAAAAAAUUCCCAUUAGAUGGGAGAUGAUGGUACUUCUGGAGUAAGCCCCGGCUAACUACGUGCCAGCAGCCGCGGUAAUACGUAGGGGGCAAGCGUUGUCCGGAUUUACUGGGUGUAAAGGGUGCUCAGGCGGAUUUGUAAGUCAGAGGUGAAAUCUUACAGCUUAACUGUGAAACUGCCUUUGAUACUGCAAGCCUAGAGUAUGGAAGAGAGUGAUGGAAUAUCUGGUGUAGCAGUGAAAUGCGUAGAUAUCAGAUAGAACACCAAUGGCGAAGGCAGUCACUUGGUCCAUUACUGACGCUAAAGCACGAAAGCGUGGGUAGCAAACA